Molecule: ribosomal RNA, 476 nt
Filed under: Ruditapes variegatus
Lineage: Eukaryota; Metazoa; Mollusca; Bivalvia; Venerida; Veneridae
Description: partial 16S ribosomal RNA
Rfam family: Bacterial large subunit ribosomal RNA
Source: RNAcentral
GGCUUUUUGCUUUUAUAAUAUAAAAAGUCGGGCCUGCCCGGUGAAAUAAUUAAACGGCUGUAACGAGAGUUAUGCUAAGGUAGCGCGAUAAUUUGUCUCUUAAUUGGAGAAUGGUAUGAAAGGUUUGUCAUAGAGCGGUUGUCUCUAAAAAAUUAAGUGAAAUUUCUUUUUAAAUGAAAAGGUUUAAAUAAAAAUAAAAGACGAGAAGACCCUGUCGAGCUAGAUUAAGAAGAAAGCUAGUCUUGGCUAGCUUGUUUUGUAAGAGUAGUUGGGGAAGGUUGGACUUCAAAUAAUAAGUUCAUAUUAAACAUAGAUCCUUUUUGAAAGAAAGUUGGCAAAAGCUACCGGAGGGAUAACAGCGUGAUUUUUCUUAAGAGAUCGUAUUGAGGGAAAAGUUUGCGACCUCGAUGUUGGAUUAGGAAAACUUCUUGGUGCAGCAGCUAAGAGUUGUAAGACUGUUCGUCUUUUAAAUUCCU